Lolium rigidum is the source of this 219-nucleotide long non-coding RNA. RefSeq lists it as uncharacterized. The record is from RefSeq and is a predicted model, not a curated record. Lineage: Eukaryota; Viridiplantae; Streptophyta; Magnoliopsida; Poales; Poaceae. The transcript is spliced from 2 exons.
CUUGUUACUGGGUUAGUAGCAUCUUCCUUGGCAGGAAGAGAUAGUAGGGUAAUCUUCAUCACUCAAAUCUAUGCGUAAUUGUCCGUCCUUUUGGCUUGUUAUUUACCUGAUGAUGCUGACAUCUCUGCAUACUUUUGCAGUGUAUGCGAAUUUAUAUGUAGUUUAACCUGGAAAUUAAUUAAUUUUCUGUGUGGUGGUGUGAAAAGAGACGUGUAGCAA